GAGUUUGAUCGUGGCUCAGAUUGAACGCUGGCGGCAUGCCUUACACAUGCAAGUCGAACGGCAGCAUGAUCUAGCUUGCUAGAUUGAUGGCGAGUGGCGAACGGGUGAGUAAUACAUCGGAACGUGCCCUGUAGUGGGGGAUAACUAGUCGAAAGAUUAGCUAAUACCGCAUACGACCUGAGGGUGAAAGUGGGGGACCGCAAGGCCUCAUGCUGUAGGAGCGGCCGAUGUCUGAUUAGCUAGUUGGUGGGGUAAAGGCCCACCAAGGCGACGAUCAGUAGCUGGUCUGAGAGGACGAUCAGCCACACUGGGACUGAGACACGGCCCAGACUCCUACGGGAGGCAGCAGUGGGAAUUUUGGACAAUGGGCGAAAGCCUGAUCCAGCAAUGCCGCGUGUGUGAAGAAGGCCUUCGG
Molecule: ribosomal RNA, 415 nt
Filed under: uncultured microorganism
Description: bacterial SSU rRNA
Rfam family: Bacterial small subunit ribosomal RNA
Source: RNAcentral